UGGGGAAUAUUGCACAAUGGGCGAAAGCCUGAUGCAGCGACGCCGCGUGAGGGAUGACGGCCUUCGGGUUGUAAACCUCUUUCAGUAGGGACGAAGCGCAAGUGACGGUACCUGCAGAAGAAGCACCGGCUAACUACGUGCCAGCAGCCGCGGUAAUACGUAGGGUGCGAGCGUUUUCCGGAAUUACUGGGCGUAAAGAGCUCGUAGGCGGUUUGUCACGUCGUCUGUGAAAUCCUAGGGCUUAACCCUGGACGUGCAGGCGAUACGGGCUGACUUGAGUACUACAGGGGAGACUGGAAUUUCUGGUGUAGCGGUGGAAUGCACAGAUAUCAGGAAGAACACCGAUGGCGAAGGCAGGUCUCUGGGUAGUAACUGACGCUGAGGAGCGAAAGCAUGGGUAGCGAACAGG
This 409-nucleotide ribosomal RNA is filed under the name bacterium. RNAcentral describes it as "partial 16S ribosomal RNA". It matches the Rfam family "Bacterial small subunit ribosomal RNA", at positions 355 to 776 of the family's 1533-position model. The record is from RNAcentral.